UGGGGAAUCUUGCACAAUGGGGGAAACCCUGAUGCAGCGACGCCGCGUGAGCGAUGAAGCCCUUCGGGGUGUAAAGCUCUUUCGACGGGAACGAUAAUGACGGUACCCGGAGAAGAAGCUGCGGCUAACUACGUGCCAGCAGCCGCGGUAAUACGUAGGCAGCAAGCGUUGUUCGGAGUUACUGGGCGUAAAGAGUGUGUAGGCGGUGUCGCAAGUUCGGUGUGAAAUCUCCCGGCUUAACUGGGAGGGUGCGCCGAAAACUGCGGUGCUUGAGUGCGGGAGAGGGAAGCGGAAUUCCUGGUGUAGCGGUGAAAUGCGUAGAUAUCAGGAGGAACACCUGCGGUGUAGACGGCUUCCUGGACCGUUACUGACGCUGAGACACGAAAGCGUGGGGAGCAAACAGGAUUAGAUACCCUGGUAGUCCACGCCCUAAACGAUGCAUACUUGGUGUGAGCCAUUCAGUUGGUUCGUGCCGGAGCUAACGCGUUAAGUAUG
RNAcentral lists this ribosomal RNA (495 nucleotides) under uncultured Acidobacteriota bacterium. RNAcentral describes it as "bacterial SSU rRNA". It matches the Rfam family "Bacterial small subunit ribosomal RNA", at positions 355 to 868 of the family's 1533-position model. Lineage: Bacteria; Pseudomonadati; Acidobacteriota. The record is from RNAcentral.